AAGGGAAUCUGGUGAUAUGUAGCAGAAGCCACCAGGGCCUGCUCCACCAGGGAGAACGCGGAGCAGCAGAGUCAGCGGAAGGAGUGCCAGUGCGUACACCUCCUCUCUGUUUACAAAGCAAAGCUGCUUGUAAGAAGUGCGCUUGAGGAAAGAGUGCAUUUUACAUUUCAUCACUUCAUCACUCUGUUUAUUAAAAUCUUUGUUGACUUGAUAUAUACAUUCAGAAAAGUGCAUGUAUCAAAAGCUCACUGAUUUUUUUAUACACUGGAAACACUUGUGUGAAAUACCACUGAAGGAUUCACUUUAAAAUGGUUGUGUAUUAAUGCAAAUUUCACCUCAACAAACAAAAAAAGCCCCAGAACUCAAGCAGCCCCGCAGAGCCCCCUUGAGCUGCAUUUUGUUGGAAGUGUCGGGGUGGAAUCACCAGGGUCAACGGUUUCCCAUUUCCACUCCCGCUGGCACGUCCGCAGACCCCUGCCGGUCCCACACGCACCCCAACGCUUGCUGUCUUCUCAUUUCUGCUGGGUGGGUGGUAGUAUGAUAUUGUGGCUUUACUUUGCAUUUCCUUGAUGUUUAAUGAACCUGAGCACCUUUUCAUAUGCUUCUCAGGCAUUUGAAGUUUUAUAAUAGUUUUAAAUAGGGGUCUUUUUUCCUUACAUGAAACUUUGAUGAGAGUGAUCAUUUCUUUUUUAUUCCCCAACCAUGAUCCAGUUCAGAAAACAUCAAGGACCUUGCUGCCUCUCCAGGAAGUGUAGCAAAAGGCACCUGCCUGCUGUGCUGGGGAAGAGCAGUGGGCCAGGUUAGCCCCCUGUCCCUGGUGUGCUACACUUACAGGUGGGCAUUGGGCUGAAGGACUCUCUGGCCCUUGCUGUUGGGUCGGGGAUGCAGUCAGAAAGGAGCAUGAAGGGCAUCUGUCCCGGCAGGGCCAUGUGGCCAGACCAGGAAGGGCUGCUCAAAGAAGAACAAAGGCUUCUCUGCCCUGAUGGAGAUGCUGACACCUUCAGAAAGACGUGUUUGUGGCAUCGGCGUCAUUUCUUUCUGUGGCUACCAAGGCCGAGAACUUCUCUGUGCUCCACCUCAUGGCCAGGGUUCUUACAGCCGCAGGCCUUCUGUGUGCAUUAGCUAGCUAACUUGUUUCUUCUUUCAUUCAUCCAAUAAGUAUGACUAAACUCCUGCAGUAUCUUCAGCAUCGGCAAUUCCACACUAAAUAAGUAAAACCCUUGCCUUCACAGAGAUCGAAAACAAACAGGAAAACUGUAAUGUCAUGUUGGGUGUCUGGAGCUGUGGAGAGAAAUGAAGGGGGCCCUGGAGAGCCAUGGCUGUGCCAAGGCCAGGGUGGCGUCCUGGAGAACCUGCCUUGGAGUGGAGUGCUGGAUCUGGGGAGGGGGGAGUGCUGCUGGGCAUUUCAUGGACACAUAGGCAGGAGGUGGGCAGGAGCACUGAGAGCAAGGGGGAGAUGGGAGAGGGCAGGGGCCUGGUCAGGGUCUCAGGGCCCUGGGCGAGGAAUUUGAAUUGCAGUCCAGGUGAGAGGGAUGGGAAGGACAAGGCUUUCAGUGAGCUGCCUGGGCUCUUAGAGAGUGACCCUGGCUCCCUCAUGGAAAAGCAGCCAUCUGGCCCUUGAGUUCAGCACCUCUCCAAGCUCCUUCCUGUCCCUAGACUGGCAGGGACUUCCAGGGACAGCCUUGGCCCCCUUUCCGCUCUGCCUUGCCAUCUCCCAUCGCUUGUCAUCGCUUCUGUGUUGGGUUUGCCCUCUGGUCCUGUUCCCUAGAGCCAUGCUCUGGUCAUGAGUGUUACAGGGCCAGGGCAGGGCCUGUCAGGGGAACAGAGUGCAGACCCCCUCUGUGGGCCCCUCUGGGCCCUCGCAUCCCACUGCCUUGGAGAGGAGAGAGCAAGAUAGAAACAGGUCCUGAGAUGAGGUGGCGGCAUACAAGCUAUCUCACACUUCUGCACCCUUCCAGGUGCGUUUCUGAAAUGCAUCAAUGCUGUGAGAUCUACACUGACUUCAGGGAUGUGGCAAACCCCCUAUUUCUUGUAACCAGCCAGCGACAGUCAUUGUGGAGCCCUGCCUGUGCCCCAGGCAGCCCUGUGCACUAAGAAAGCCAGGCCUGGGAGACACUGACUUGUCGUUUGCCUCCAGGCGUUUUUAGUUGUAACAGACUAGUUCUUGUUUCCCAUCACCUAGAAUCUGUUGAUCUGUCUGGAUCUUAGUUCCUGAGCCUCCUGCUCUGCAAGACGCACCCUGCACAUGCACGCUCACGUGGGGCACACACACCCAGGUGCCCAUCAUGCCAGCAGGUGCACAGUUGGAGAAAUCGACUCCCCAGACCAGACUCCCCAGAGCGCGGGGAGCGGCCAAGUGUCCUCGCACAAACUGGGGUGGAAUUGAUACAGGGGCCAGGGAGGUCCCUAAACACUAGUGGGACCCUGACCCUAGCCAGCAUCCAGGCUCUUGACACUGUUGUGAGAAGGAUUUCAAGGAUGAGUCAGAAAACAGUGAAAGUACAAAGAUUUAUUGCAGAGUGAAGAGUACACUCUUGCAAAAAGAAAGUGUGGGGGCAGACUCAAGAGAGCCACAGAAUGGGGUUUGGGGCUGCUAUCUUUAUGGGUUUCUUUAACCGAGGGGUGGAAUAUUCAUGAAAAUUCCUGGAAAAAGGUGGAGAUUUAUUGGAAUUGUGGUGCUACCCAUUCUUUCUUUCUUUUUUUUUUUUUUGAGUUGGAGUUUCACUCUUGUUGCCCAGGCUGGAGUGCAAUGGUUCGAUCUUGGCUCACCACAAACUCUGCCUCCCAGGUUCAAGCAAUUCUCCUGCCUCAGCCUCCCAAGUAGCUGGGAUUAUAGGCACACACCACCACACCUGGCUGAUUUUGUAUUUUAGUAGAGACAGUGUUUCUCCAUGUUGGUCAGGCUGGUCUCGAACUCCUGACCUCAGGUGAUCCUCCCACCUCGGCCUCCCAAAGUGCUGGGAUAACAGGCAUGAGCCACCGUGCCUGGCCCAGUGUCACCCAUUCUUACACCAAAUAAGGGUGUCCUGGAACUGUCAUGGUGUUGGUGGUGUGUGAUUGAGUGCGUCAGUGAGCAGAUAAUGAGGUCCGAGGUGAGACCUAGCUCAAAUCCAGCUCUGCACUGGGUCCGGUCAGUCUUAGCCAGCUUGGUCCACACCCUGUUUUUCAGGGUCAGGGCCUAGUCACCCUAUAGCCUCCAGUUAUAUGAAACUGUUGCCUGGAAUGUGUAUUCUUCUGUGACCACCUGUAUUAUUCCUGUCACAGAAUCGUGACACAGCAGCAGCCCUUUCCCAGUGUGUGGGGCACAGUUACAUUCCUAGGUGUGGAAGGAAGACCUUUGCUGCAUUAAAUUAUCCCCAGCAUCUGUUUGCUGCUUUUAACACGAGUGACUUAAAGGGACAUGGGUUAGAAGAAGGAGGGAGGAGAUUUGUGCCAGGGAUGAAAGAAAAUGGCUAAAAGAUGAAUGAAAGUUGCAUAUAUCUCUUUUUCUUCUGUAAAUAACUCAUGAUAAAAGGGAAUAAAAUUUAGGUUUUCCCCACUUGGAAGAGACAUGGCCAAACGGAGUGUGUGCUUUUCCUAAACCACCGUGAAGGUAGCAUGAAAACCAGGCUUGCUCUUCAGAGACUAGGAGGCUCCUGUUUUGGGCACUCCAUCUGCCCUGCUGCCGUGAAAGCUCUCGGACCCAAAUGGCUUCCUGUGAUCCACUGUGGUCUGCUUAUUAUAUUCCCUUCAGCUAUGUUUAUAACUCUGUCAACAGCCACAGCGUGAGUACCCCAAUCGGAUAACAAUAACCUAAAAUUUUAAAUGCUCAAAAGUCAGAAACAUUUUAAGUGACAAUAUGAUGCUCAAAGGAAAUGUCCAUUGGAGCAUUUUAGAUUCAGAUUUUUGGAUUAGGAAGGUGGAUGUAUAAUAGAAUAACUGGUAAGUAUAAUGCAAGUUUUCAAGAUCCAAAAAAGUUCAAAAUUCGAAACACUUCUGACUCCAGGCAUUUUGGAUAAGGGAUACCCAACCUAUAUUAUGAAGUGGUAGCAAGAAAAUUACAUUGAAAUGGAACAUUUUUUCAGUUUAUGUAUCCUUUUGUGAGGUUUUUAUUUCAAAAUAUCACAGUCCAAGCCAAAAAAUAUACGUGGGUGUUUCAGUUUAUGAAAACUGUAAGUUAUGUUUACUUUUCUAUAUGUAUAUAUUUUUUUACCUCAAUAAAAUGAUAGCCCCAAA
Molecule: long non-coding RNA, 4215 nt
Filed under: Homo sapiens (human)
Lineage: Eukaryota; Metazoa; Chordata; Mammalia; Primates; Hominidae
Description: non-protein coding lnc-RNMT-5:1
Source: RNAcentral